GUGGGCUGGACGAUCGCGGCACCCGCCUCUUCGCAUGAAGAGGUGUGGGUGAUGAGGAAAGUCCGGGCUCCGCAGGGUAGGAUGCCGGCUAACGGCCGGGCGGGGUGACCCGACGGACAGUGUCACAGAAAAGAAGACUCCGUGCAUGCACGGAGAAAAGCUGAAACGGUGUGGUAAGAGCGCACCAGCGUCGCGGUGACGCGGCGGCUUGACAAACCCCAUCCGGAGCAAGGGCAAAUAGGGAUGCCAUGAGUUGACCCGACUCGCAUCCGGGUUGCCUGCUGGAGGGUGCCGGUAACGGUACUCCUAGAUAAAUGAUCGUCUUAGAAGACAGAACCCGGCUUAUAGGCUCGCUUU
This 357-nucleotide RNase P RNA is filed under the name human gut metagenome. RNAcentral describes it as "Bacterial RNase P class A". It matches the Rfam family "Bacterial RNase P class A". From Rfam's summary of the family: Ribonuclease P (RNase P) is a ubiquitous endoribonuclease, found in archaea, bacteria and eukarya as well as chloroplasts and mitochondria. The record is from RNAcentral.